Molecule: ribosomal RNA, 398 nt
Filed under: uncultured bacterium
Lineage: Bacteria
Description: partial 16S ribosomal RNA
Rfam family: Bacterial small subunit ribosomal RNA
Source: RNAcentral
AUACGUAGGGUGCGAGCGUUGUCCGGAAUUACUGGGCGUAAAGAGCUCGUAGGUGGUUUGUCGCGUCGUCUGUGAAAUUCCGGGGCUUAACUCCGGGCGUGCAGGCGAUACGGGCAUAACUUGAGUACUGUAGGGGAGACUGGAAUUCCUGGUGUAGCGGUGAAAUGCGCAGAUAUCAGGAGGAACACCGGUGGCGAAGGCGGGUCCCUGGGCAGUAACUGACGCUGAGGAGCGAAAGCAUGGGUAGCGAACAGGAUUAGAUACCCUGGUAGUCCAUGCUGUAAACGGUGGGCGCUAGGUGUAGGGGUCUUCCACGACUUCUGUGCCGUAGCUAACGCAUUAAGCGCCCCGCCUGGGGAGUACGGCCGCAAGGCUAAAACUCAAAGGAAUUGACGGGG